Small nuclear RNA from Lolium rigidum, 103 nucleotides. The record is from RefSeq and is a predicted model, not a curated record. NCBI's taxonomy places the organism in Eukaryota, Viridiplantae, Streptophyta, Magnoliopsida, Poales, Poaceae.
GUCCCUUCGGAGACAUUCGAUAAAAUUUGAAUGAUAUAGAGAAGAUUAGCAUGGCCCUUGCGCAAGAAUGACACGCACAAAUCGAGAAAUGGCACAAUUUUUU